CCUACGGGAGGCAGCAGUGAGGAAUAUUGGUCAAUGGGCGUAAGCCUGAACCAGCCAAGUCGCGUGAGGGAUGAAGGUUCUAUGGAUCGUAAACCUCUUUUAUAAGGGAAUAAAGUCGGGGACGUGUCCUGUUUUGAAUGUACCUUAUGAAUAAGGAUCGGCUAACUCCGUGCCAGCAGCCGCGGUAAUACGGAGGAUCCGAGCGUUAUCCGGAUUUAUUGGGUUUAAAGGGUGCGUAGGCGGCCUUUUAAGUCAGCGGUGAAAGUCUGUGGCUCAACCAUCGGAUGGCCGUUGAAAUUGGGGGGCGUGAGUUUGUUGGAGGCAGGCGGAAUGCGUGGUGUAGCGGUGAAAUGCUUAGAUAUCACGCAGAACCCCGAUUGCGAAGGCAGCCUGCCAAGCCAUGACUGACGCUGAGGCACGAAAGCGUGGGGAUCAAACAGGAUUAGAUACCCCUGUAGUC
This 460-nucleotide ribosomal RNA is filed under the name uncultured bacterium. RNAcentral's name for it is "partial 16S ribosomal RNA". It matches the Rfam family "Bacterial small subunit ribosomal RNA", at positions 338 to 795 of the family's 1533-position model. The record is from RNAcentral.